UACGGGGGGGGCAAGCGUUGUUCGGAAUUACUGGGCGUAAAGGGCUCGUAGGCGGCCAACUAAGUCAGACGUGAAAUCCCCAGGCUCAACCUGGGAACUGCGUCUGAUACUGGAUGGCUUGAAUUCGGGAGAGGGAUGCAGAAUUCCAGGUGUAGCGGUGAAAUGCGUAGAUAUCUGGAGGAAUACCGGUGGCGAAGGCGGCAUCCUGGACCGAUAUUGACACUGAGGAGCGAAAGCCAGGGGAGCAAACGGG
Molecule: ribosomal RNA, 253 nt
Filed under: uncultured bacterium
Lineage: Bacteria
Description: partial 16S ribosomal RNA
Rfam family: Bacterial small subunit ribosomal RNA
Source: RNAcentral